RNAcentral lists this ribosomal RNA (510 nucleotides) under uncultured bacterium. RNAcentral's name for it is "partial 16S ribosomal RNA". It matches the Rfam family "Bacterial small subunit ribosomal RNA", at positions 28 to 507 of the family's 1533-position model. The record is from RNAcentral.
GACGAACGCUGGCGGCGUGCUUAACACAUGCAAGUCGAACGAAGAGCGCCGGUAGCUUGCUUCUAUCAAUCUAAGUGGCGAACGGGUGAGUAACGCGCAAUCAACCUGCCCUUCAGAGGGGGACAACAGUUGGAAACGACUGCUAAUACCGCCUACGCUCCAAUCUCGGCAUCGAGGAUGGAUGAAAGGUGGCCUCUACAUGUCAGCUAUCACUGAAGGAGGGGAGUGCGUCUGAUUAGCUAGUUGGAGGGGUAAGGACCCAUCAAGGCGAUGAUCAGUAGCCGGUCGGAUUGGAUGGACGGCGACAUUGGGGCGGGGACACGGCCCAGAGUACUACGGGAGGCAGCAGUGGGCAACCUUACGCAAUGGAGGGGAGUCUGGCGGAGCAACGCCGCGUGAGUGAUGACGGCCUUCGGGUUGUAAAGCUCUGUUUAUCGGGACGAAAGGCCUUCAGGCGAAGAGUGAGAUGUAUUGACGGUACCGGAAGAGAAAGCAACGGCUAACUACGUG